RNAcentral lists this unclassified non-coding RNA (613 nucleotides) under Scedosporium boydii. RNAcentral describes it as "sequence contains 18S rRNA gene, ITS1, 5.8S rRNA gene, ITS2, 28S rRNA gene". The stretch from base 211 to 364 matches the Rfam family "5.8S ribosomal RNA". Lineage: Eukaryota; Fungi; Ascomycota; Sordariomycetes; Microascales; Microascaceae. The record is from RNAcentral.
GUAACAAGGUCUCCGUUGGUGAACCAGCGGAGGGAUCAUUACAGAGUUACUACUCCAAAACCCAUUGUGAACCUUACCUAUGUUCUGUUGCCUCGGCGGCGUGGUCAGCGCCCCCUCUGAAAAGAGGACGAUGCCCUCCCGCCGGCAGCACCAAACUCUUGAAUUUUACAGCGGAUUACAGUUCUGAUUUGAAAAGAAAAAACAAGUUAAAACUUUCAACAACGGAUCUCUUGGUUCUGGCAUCGAUGAAGAACGCAGCGAAAUGCGAUAAGUAAUGUGAAUUGCAGAAUUCAGUGAAUCAUCGAAUCUUUGAACGCACAUUGCGCCCGGCAGUAAUCUGCCGGGCAUGCCUGUCCGAGCGUCAUUUCAACCCUCGAACCUCCGUUUCCUCAGGGAAGCUCAGGGUCGGUGUUGGGGCGCUACGGCGAGUCUUCGCGACCCUCCGUAGGCCCUGAAAUACAGUGGCGGUCCCGCCGCGGUUGCCUUCUGCGUAGUAAGUCUCUUUUGCAAGCUCGCAUUGGGUCCCGGCGGAGGCCUGCCGUCAAACCACCUAUAACUCCAGAUGGUUUGACCUCGGAUCAGGUAGGGUUACCCGCUGAACUUAAGCAUAUCA